Molecule: ribosomal RNA, 558 nt
Filed under: uncultured bacterium
Lineage: Bacteria
Description: bacterial SSU rRNA
Rfam family: Bacterial small subunit ribosomal RNA
Source: RNAcentral
CCUACGGGAGGCAGCAGUAGGGAAUCUUGCGCAAUGGGCGAAAGCCUGACGCAGCCAUGCCGCGUGAAUGAUGAAGGUCUUAGGAUUGUAAAAUUCUUUCACCGGGGACGAUAGUGACGGUACCCGGAGAAGAAGCCCCGGCUAACUUCGUGCCAGCAGCCGCGGUAAUACGAAGGGGGCUAGCGUUGCUCGGAAUUACUGGGCGUAAAGGGAGCGUAGGCGGAUAGUUUAGUCAGAGGUGAAAGCCCAGGGCUCAACCUUGGAACUGCCUUUGAUACUGGCUAUCUUGAGUACGGGAGAGGUGAGUGGAACUCCGAGUGUAGAGGUGAAAUUCGUAGAUAUUCGGAAGAACACCAGUGGCGAAGGCGACUCACUGGCCCGUUACUGACGCUGAGGCUCGAAAGCGUGGGGAGCAAACAGGAUUAGAUACCCUGGUAGUCCACGCUGUAAACGAUGAGUGCUAGUUGUCGGCAUGCAUGCAUGUCGGUGACGCAGCUAACGCAUUAAGCACUCCGCCUGGGGAGUACGGUCGCAGNUAAAACUCAAAUGAAUUGACGG